CAGUAGCCGCGGUAAUACGUAGGUGGCAAGCGUUGUCCGGAAUUAUUGGGCGUAAAGGGCUCGCAGGCGGUUUCUUAAGUCUGAUGUGAAAGCCCCCGGCUCAACCGGGGAGGGUCAUUGGAAACUGGGAAACUUGAGUGCAGAAGAGGAGAGUGGAAUUCCACGUGUAGCGGUGAAAUGCGUAGAGAUGUGGAGGAACACCAGUGGCGAAGGCGACUCUCUGGUCUGUAACUGACGCUGAGGAGCGAAAGCGUGGGGAGCGAACAGGAUUAGAUACCCCAGUAGUCCCUGUCUCUUAUAU
RNAcentral lists this ribosomal RNA (301 nucleotides) under uncultured bacterium. RNAcentral describes it as "partial 16S ribosomal RNA". It matches the Rfam family "Bacterial small subunit ribosomal RNA", at positions 509 to 809 of the family's 1533-position model. The record is from RNAcentral.